Molecule: small nuclear RNA, 107 nt
Organism: Sorex fumeus (smoky shrew)
Lineage: Eukaryota; Metazoa; Chordata; Mammalia; Eulipotyphla; Soricidae
Source: RefSeq, a predicted model, not a curated record
CUAAUGCUUCAAUAGCUAUACAAGAGUCGGAACAAUACAGAGAUUAGCAAGGCACUUGAACAAGGAUGGCCUGAGCAUUCACGAAGCAGUUCAGUAUCUGUAUUUUU